RNAcentral lists this ribosomal RNA (116 nucleotides) under Salmonella sp. NCTC 7297. The record is from RNAcentral. Lineage: Bacteria; Pseudomonadati; Pseudomonadota; Gammaproteobacteria; Enterobacterales; Enterobacteriaceae.
UGGCGGCUGUAGCGCGGUGGUCCCACCUGACCCCAUGGCCGAACUCAGAAGUGAAACGUCGUAGCGCCGAUGGUAGUGUGGGGUCUCCCCAUGCGAGAGUAGGGAACUGCCAGACA